CACAUUCCCAAAACAAAUGAGUUAAUGUUUCAUCCGAAUUAUGACAAAAUGAGCAAAAAGGGUCGACAUUGAUCUUAUACUUCACUGGUUUAAUACAUAUUACAAGAUGAAUUUUCGGGCAUGACGUCACACAGCCCCCCCCCCUUUCCUCUAAAUCGAGUGGAAAUGGUUGCGUUUGUUUGUGCGUCGUUAGUGCUGUUUAAAGUUUUGUUUGAGCUGUUGGUAUUAACCCCGUCCCCUCCAAGUUAACCACAAAAAUGGUUUGGUCCGUGUUUCCCGUUCAUUCAAAUACAUUAAAGACACAUGAAGCACAAACAGAUUGUACAGGUUCUGUUGUGGUCCACACUCGUCUUUUUUCCUCCUGGUUCUGUCUGUUUGGGUGCGUUUUUCACUCCUCCUCCAGUCAACCAGUCCAGCUCUGGGGAUGUCACCCUGAACAAGAACUCCAGGUCUUCAUCCGUCUCACAGAUACAUAAUGUCCAAGAGCAUCCUGGGUCAAGCCUCCCUGUAAAGCAACGACUGCCCCCCCUCAAAUGUGGCCAAAUUAGGUCCAUGGCUUGGUCGGGAUCUCCAAAGUCCAUCAGCUUCUUUGCCUGUGAUGCCUGCCGUACAUGGGCUUCCAUCUGCCUUCACAUAUUUCUGUGUUCAUCUGCACAAGCAUAUUUCCAGACAUGAAAUGCUUUGAACAGCCAGUGUGCAGGAGUCACCAGCGUUGUUGAUGCAACAUUUGAACACCACUGGGCUGUUAACUGCUGGUUCUAUCUCACAUGUUCUGUCCAGAUGACCAUGGUGCUCUUUACAGUAGCUCCUGACUUCAGUGUAAUUGUGAUUGAUGGAUAGACCUUGGCUCUUUUAUAAAUAAAUGUGCAAGGACUUUUGACUGCUUUCCAAAUCUGCUCAUUUAUGACAUGAG
Molecule: long non-coding RNA, 913 nt
Organism: Sphaeramia orbicularis (orbiculate cardinalfish)
Lineage: Eukaryota; Metazoa; Chordata; Actinopteri; Kurtiformes; Apogonidae
Exons: 3
Source: RefSeq, a predicted model, not a curated record